Long non-coding RNA from Homo sapiens (human), 323 nucleotides. The record is from Ensembl. Lineage: Eukaryota; Metazoa; Chordata; Mammalia; Primates; Hominidae.
CAGCCCUAGUUGGAGCCAGCAGCCCGGAGGACUUCGGGUAUCAGAACCAGGCUCAGGGGCUGACAGGGAGCAGUGUUCAUCAAGGUGUCCUGACGUCCCACCCUGAUUGCAACAAGGCUCUGGGGACAUCCACAUCUGGCCUUUCCUACAGCACAGAGCUCUGCCUCCUCCCCACCACACAUGCAGCCCUCUUCUGCCCCAGGGCCGGGGCAGCCUCAGUCCUGCUGCCAGAGAAGAGCUCCAUGGGAAGAACCUGCCGCCCUGUGUGGACCCUGCUUGCCCCAGGGCCUGGCAGUGAGAGGUGCUGGGGAGGGAGGGAGGAA